GCCAUGCAUGUCUCAGUACAAACUAAAAUAAAGUGAAACCGCGAAUGGCUCAUUAAAUCAGUUACGGCUUAUUAGAUGUUGACUAUCUACAUGGAUAACUGUGGUAAUUCUAGAGCUAAUACAUGCACCAAAGCCUUGAUCCUAACGGUGAGAGGCGCAGUUAUUAGACCAAGACCAAUGGGCUUUCGGGCCCUUGCGAUGGUGACUCUGGAUAACGAUGCUGACCGCAUGGCCUCGUGCCGGCGGCGUAUCUUUCAAGUGUCUGCUCUAUCAACUUUCGAUGGUAGGUUAUGCGCCUACCAUGGUUGUAACGGGUAACGGGGAAUCAGGGUUCGAUUCCGGAGAGGGAGCCUGAGAAACGGCUACCACAUCUAAGGAAGGCAGCAGGCACGCAAAUUACCCACUCCCAGUACGGGGAGGUAGUGACGAAAAAUAACAAUACGGGACUCUAAUGAGGCCCCGUAAUUGGAAUGAGAACAAUCUAAAUCCUUUAACGAGGAUCAAUUGGAGGGCAAGUCUGGUGCCAGCAGCCGCGGUAAUUCCAGCUCCAAUAGCGUAUAUUAAAGUUGUUGCGGUUAAAAAGCUCGUAGUUGGAUCUCAGUCGACGGCCACGGGUCCUGCGGAUGUAGGCUACUCGUGGCCACGACAUAAUCAGCCGAUUCGAUACUGAGUUGCCCUUAAUCGGGUGGCUCAGUCGGACGGUACGUUUACUUUGAAAAAAUUAGAGUGCUCAAAGCAGGCGUGACGCCUGAAUAAUCUUGCAUGGAAUAAUGGAAUAGGACCUCGGUUCUAUUUUGUUGGUCUCCGGAUCUUGAGGUAAUGAUUAAGAGGGACUGCCGGGAGCAUUCGUAUUGCGGCGCUAGAGGUGAAAUUCUUGGACCGCUGCAAGACGAACUACAGCGAAAGCAUUUGCUAAGAAUGUUUUCUUUAAUCAAGAACGAAAGUUAGAGGUUCGAAGGCGAUCAGAUACCGCCCUAGUUCUAACCAUAAACGAUGCCAACCAGCAAUCAGCCUGAGUUCAUUUAUACGACUCGGCUGGCAGCUUCCCGGAAACUAAAGUCUUUGGGUUCCGGGGGAAGUAUGGUUGCAAAGCUGAAACUUAAAGGAAUUGACGGAAGGGCACCACCAGGAGUGGAGCCUGCGGCUUAAUUUGACUCAACACGGGAAAACUCACCCGGCCCGGACACUAGAAGGAUUGACAGAUUGAGAGCUCUUUCUUGAUUUAGUGGGUGGUGGUGCAUGGCCGUUCUUAGUUGGUGGAGUGAUUUGUCUGGUUAAUUCCGAUAACGAACGAGACUCUAGCCUACUUAAUAGAUCGGCACCUCCUUAUGGCGGUGUCGAACUUCUUAGAGGGAUAAUCUGCGACUCAGCAGAAUGAAAGAGAGCAAUAACAGGUCUGUGAUGCCCUUAGAUGUCCGGGGCCGCACGCGCGCUACACUGAAGAGGUCAGCUAGCAUAAGUUCCCGCUCCGUGAGGAGUGGGUAACCCACUGAACCUUCUUCGUGAUAGGGAUUGGUCUUUGUAAUUGUAGACCAUGAACGAGGAAUUCCCAGUAAGUGCGAGUCAUCAGCUCGCGUUGAUUACGUCCCUGCCCUUUGUACACACCGCCCGUCGCUACUACCGAUUGAAUGAUUUAGUGAGGUCUUCGGACCGACUGGUGAAGCUGCUCUCGGGUGGCAUCGCCGUGUUGGAAAGAUGCCCAAACUUGAUCAUUUAGAGGAAGUA
This 1725-nucleotide ribosomal RNA is filed under the name Eupodes sp. AP-2010. RNAcentral describes it as "SSU rRNA". It matches the Rfam family "Eukaryotic small subunit ribosomal RNA". The record is from RNAcentral. Lineage: Eukaryota; Metazoa; Arthropoda; Arachnida; Trombidiformes; Eupodidae.